GAUGAACGCUGGCGGCGUGCUUAACACAUGCCAGUCGAACGGAAAGGCCCAAGCUUGCUUGGGUACUCGAGUGGCGAACGGGUGAGUAACACGUGGGUGAUCUGCCCUGCACUUCGGGAUAAGCCUGGGAAACUGGGUCUAAUACCGGAUAGGACCACUUCUUGGAUGUUGUGGUGGAAAGUUUUUUCGGUGUGGGAUGAGCUCGCGGCCUAUCAGCUUGUUGGUGGGGUAAUGGCCUACCAAGGCGUCGACGGGUAGCCGGCCUGAGAGGGUGUACGGCCACAUUGGGACUGAGAUACGGCCCAGACUCCUACGGGAGGCAGCAGUGGGGAAUAUUGCACAAUGGGCGCAAGCCUGAUGCAGCGACGCCGCGUGGGGGAUGACGGCCUUCGGGUUGGAAACUCCGUUCGCUAGGGACGAAGCGUUUUGUGACGGUACCUGGAGAAGAAGCACCGGCUAACUACGUG
This 467-nucleotide ribosomal RNA is filed under the name uncultured bacterium. Its description in RNAcentral is "partial 16S ribosomal RNA". It matches the Rfam family "Bacterial small subunit ribosomal RNA", at positions 28 to 507 of the family's 1533-position model. The record is from RNAcentral.